This 418-nucleotide RNase P RNA is filed under the name Alphaproteobacteria bacterium HGW-Alphaproteobacteria-6. Its description in RNAcentral is "RNase P RNA component class A". It matches the Rfam family "Bacterial RNase P class A". Rfam says of the family: Ribonuclease P (RNase P) is a ubiquitous endoribonuclease, found in archaea, bacteria and eukarya as well as chloroplasts and mitochondria. Lineage: Bacteria; Pseudomonadati; Pseudomonadota; Alphaproteobacteria. The record is from RNAcentral.
GCGGAUGGCCGGAUGACCGCGGGUGCCCUUCGGGGCGCACGAGGAAAGUCCGGACUCCAUGAGGCAACGGUGCCGGGUAACGCCCGGCCGGGGCAACCCGAGGGAAAGCGCCACAGAGAAGAGACCGCCUGUCCACGGGCAGGCAAGGGUGAAACGGUGGGGCAAGAGCCCACCGCGGACCUGGCAACAGGGACGGCACGGCAAGCCCCACCGGGAGCAAUGCCAAAUAGGGGCCUCGCGCGGGCUGAUCGGGGCGGCAACGCCCGCGAUAUCGCCGCAGGGACGCUUCAGCCCGAGAGGCCCGGGUUGGCAGCUUGAUCCCGCCGGUAACGGCGGGGCGAGAGGAAUGGUCAUCCAGGGAGCAGCGGCGCAAGCCGGGGCCCCCGGACAGAAUCCGGCUUACAGGCCAUCCGCGCAU